Molecule: long non-coding RNA, 1752 nt
Organism: Papaver somniferum (opium poppy)
Lineage: Eukaryota; Viridiplantae; Streptophyta; Magnoliopsida; Ranunculales; Papaveraceae
Exons: 8
Source: RefSeq, a predicted model, not a curated record
UCAUUUUGCAAAACCACCGAGAUCUCUCGAAAUCGAAUUGGAUCUCUGAAAAUCAAAAACCAUCUUUCUGAAAUCUAACCCAAUUUGUGAGAUCUCUUAAACUCAAUCUGAUUUGUGAGAUGGGUUCUCGUAAGAUUGAGUUUAAGCUAUUCGAUUUUUUAUAUUUUCAGAUGUGGGUUUUAACCGAAUUUGAUUUGUGAGAUCUCUUUAACUCAUCUCACAAAUCAAAACCCAUCUUUCUGAAAUCAGAAUCAAGUAACCCAAUUUUUGUUUCAAACCCUAGUUUAUGAAAACUGUCGGAGAUACAGUUGGGAGCUUGUACUUUAAGAAUUCAUGGAGUUAGAUUGGCUAGAGUCCAUAUGCCCGACUGGCAUGGUUAUAAAGGUUGUAUUGAAUGUUAUAGAACAAUUUGACCACUUUGUUGGAGAAGAUGUGAUGACUGACUUGAAGUACCCAUUCCAAGGCAAUGCCUUACCAUUUUGAGCAGUUCCAGUGGUGGCCAUAGUAUUGACAUUGGUUAUCAUUGUGGGUAUCUACUUUUACAGGAGGGAUGUAUAUGAUUUGCACCAUGCAAACUUGGUUUGUGGUCUUAGCUCCUAGAGGAUGCAUCACUUACCCCUCUGUUAUGCCUAGGAGCUGGAGCAUGUGAUGGAAUAAUAUCCAUGUCAGCAACUUACACAAUGGAUCUGGUGAAACGCAGGUUUACAAUCCAGGUAAUGUUUCGACUUUGCAUAGUGCAGACAGAAGUGUUUCCUUUCCAGUACAGGGGAAUUGCACAUACCUUAUCAACUUUCCUCCGGGAAGGCCUACGAGAUUUAUAUAAAGGAUGGCUUCCUUCUGUAGUUGGAUUUAGUUGUUGCGUACCACACUCGGAUGCUUGAGGUUUCAUUGACUGCUUUCGAAGAUCUAAACAAACAAGCUUUUUGACAUAAUUGGUGAUGGUUGCUGAGACUUAUUGGUAAGCAACACCUUGGUUUUACUCUUCAGUUAAGCUUUCUUAGUAAUCUAUUCUUUUCGACUUUUCUGAACGAGUCACUGGAGGUGCUGCUGGAGUUUUGAAGAGCCCAGCAGUCAAUACCCGUCAGUGGUGUAGACAUUGGUCCUGUACACAAGAGUUAUGUCAGUGGCUAAGCCCUGCAUUAGGAUUUACUACGCAAUAUAAUUGCUGCCACACCUACAAGUGAUGGACAAAUGGAUCAAAUUGGUUCCCUUGGAUGCUCUAGCUGACGUCCCCUCCACUUCUGCAACCACAACACCUGAAGCUUAAAUUCCCAUUGAUUUCACUACCAAAGUUCACUAAUUAAAACUUGCAAGUGAAAGGCUUCUGUUCUGAAUACUGCAACACAGAUGAUGGGGCAAAAGCUUUUGUUACUAAGAAGUCUACACUUUAAAGGAUUUGGUCUAAAGAUGGAAUAUGUUCACUGCAUUCUCUUGUUCAGGUUAAAAAUUCUAUCUCGUCCUUCACAAGUACAGUUUAGAUCUAUCGUAAACUGUGUAGAUUAUCUUAAGCUGUUCAGAUGUAUCCUAAACAUUUUUAGUUGAGGUCGUAAUGAUGCUAAACCAAGAGGUACAGAUGGAGCUGGAUAAGAUGGUGAGUUUCGUAAAGUGCUAAGCUCUUGUUGUACAACAAGAUGUACUGUAAUUAUAAUCGGCAGAUUUCAUCUUUAGAAUGUAUGUAUAGAGUAUAUAUAACUUAAUGUGUAUGUAAUCCAUGUUGGAAGAGAGAACAUUAUAAGGAUCUGAGCAGGUGCC